This 73-nucleotide transfer RNA is filed under the name Planctomycetota bacterium. RNAcentral's name for it is "tRNA-Ala". It matches the Rfam family "tRNA". From Rfam's summary of the family: Transfer RNA (tRNA) molecules are approximately 80 nucleotides in length. Their secondary structure includes four short double-helical elements and three loops (D, anti-codon, and T loops). The record is from RNAcentral. RNAcentral also lists the same sequence under 2 other names. Lineage: Bacteria; Pseudomonadati; Planctomycetota.
GGGGCGUUAGCUCAGUUGGGAGAGCGCUUGCUUUGCAAGCAAGAGGUCACCGGUUCGAGCCCGGUACGCUCCA